AUAAUUAUAGCUUAUUUUUAGAGUUUAAUAUUGAAGUUAUUAAGGUGAUUUUUUCUAAUUAUA
This 63-nucleotide transfer RNA is filed under the name Entylia carinata. Its description in RNAcentral is "tRNA-Phe". The record is from RNAcentral. Lineage: Eukaryota; Metazoa; Arthropoda; Insecta; Hemiptera; Membracidae.